AGAGUUUGAUCCUGGCUCAGGACGAACGCUGGCGGCGUGCCUAACACAUGCAAGUCGAGCGGAAAGGCCCUUUCGGGGGUACUCGAGCGGCGAACGGGUGAGUGACACGUGAGUAAUCUGCCCUUGGCUUUGGGAUAACUACCGGAAACGGUGGCUAAUACCGGAUACGACUGCUCCCGGCAUCGGGUGGUGGUGGAAAGUUUUUUCGGCCAGGGAUGUGCUCGCGGCCUAUCAGCUUGUUGGUGGGGUAAUGGCCUACCAAGGCUUCGACGGGUAGCCGGCCUGAGAGGGUGACCGGCCACACUGGGACUGAGACACGGCCCAGACUCCUACGGGAGGCAGCAGUGGGGAAUAUUGGACAAUGGGCGGAAGCCUGAUCCAGCAACGCCGCGUGAGGGAUGACGGCCUUCGGGUUGUAAACCUCUUUCAGUACCGACGAAGCGCCGAUGAUGGUGGUGACGGAGGACAAAAAGCCC
RNAcentral lists this ribosomal RNA (476 nucleotides) under uncultured Actinomycetes bacterium. RNAcentral describes it as "bacterial SSU rRNA". It matches the Rfam family "Bacterial small subunit ribosomal RNA", at positions 8 to 493 of the family's 1533-position model. The record is from RNAcentral. Lineage: Bacteria; Bacillati; Actinomycetota; Actinomycetes.